RNAcentral lists this ribosomal RNA (491 nucleotides) under uncultured bacterium. RNAcentral describes it as "partial 16S ribosomal RNA". It matches the Rfam family "Bacterial small subunit ribosomal RNA", at positions 30 to 507 of the family's 1533-position model. The record is from RNAcentral.
AUUGAACGCUGGCGGCAGGCUUAACACAUGCAAGUCGAGCGGUAACAGAGAGAAGCUUGCUUCUCUGCUGACGAGCGGCGGACGGGUGAGUAAUGCCUAGGAAUCUGCCUAGUAGUGGGGGAUAACUUGCCGAAAGGUAAGCUAAUACCGCAUACGUCCUACGGGAGAAAGGAGGGGACCUUCGGGCCUUUCGCUAUUAGAUGAGCCUGGGUCGGAUUAGUUAGUUGGUGAGGUAAUGGCUCACCAAGACCGCGAUCCGUAACUGGUCUGAGAGGAUGAUCAGUCACACUGGAACUGAGACACGGUCCAGACUCCUACGGGAGGCAGCAGUGGGGAAUAUUGGACAAUGGGGGGGAACCCUGAUCCAGCCAUGCCGCGUGUGUGAAGAAGGUCUUAGGAUUGUAAAGCACUUUAAGUUGGGAGGAAGAGCAGUUAACUAAUAUUUGACUGUUUUGACGUUACCGACAGAAUAAGCACCGGCUAACUUCGUG